AGAACACAGGAAUCAUGCAUACCAUCAAAUGGUCAUUAAUUCAACACUUAGCAUCACCAGAGACACAAGUAUACUAGCUGAAAUGAGCAGGGAUUAUUUCACUUAUCAAGACUUGCUGAUUGAGUUGUUUGAUUAAAUUGUAUUGCAAUCCAGCAACAACUAUGUUUGUCUGAUGGAAGUGUAGUUUAAGAACAACGUAAUCAAUGCACUAAAAGAUAAA
This 220-nucleotide unclassified non-coding RNA is filed under the name Hevea brasiliensis (rubber tree). The record is from RNAcentral. Lineage: Eukaryota; Viridiplantae; Streptophyta; Magnoliopsida; Malpighiales; Euphorbiaceae.